This is a long non-coding RNA of Lytechinus variegatus (green sea urchin), 2408 nucleotides long. RefSeq lists it as uncharacterized. The record is from RefSeq and is a predicted model, not a curated record. The transcript has 2 exons. NCBI's taxonomy places the organism in Eukaryota, Metazoa, Echinodermata, Echinoidea, Temnopleuroida, Toxopneustidae.
AAAUAUUUCAAUAUUUUUAUUCCGAUAUUUUCUCUCCUUUCUCUCUCUCUCUUUUUUUUACAGAAUCUAUCUUUAUUUGGGUAUAUGUACAAAUAAUUUCUUACAAAAAUAUAAGUAAUGCAUGUCUCAUAAUACUGUCCAUAUCAUCUAAAUCUCAUACAAUUGGCACUUACACUUUUGUUUUGAAGUUGAGAUAUUUCUGAACUAAAUUUGCGGUAAUCGUCACGCCUAAACUUCGGAGCAACCCUCAAAAGAAAGUAUAAUCUAAGCAAGAGAAAAUGACUAUUUUUUCAUUCAGAUAUCCUAACACGGAGAUCUCCAUGCAUAACGAAUAUGCACUCACAGUUAAUCAUACCGACGGGGAUAUUGGUAAAAAUAACCUUCACAAAAAUAUCUCAACCAUUGAAAUCCAAAGACAACAUAAUAAAUCAACUUGAACGUUUAUGUCUGAGCCCCGUGCUCUCAAAGUAACUUUCCUUUUAAGCCAAUCCAAAUCAUGGAAAGUUUUAAAUGGAUUCUUGGAAGAUUUUCAUACCAAAAAAAAUCUGUUCAGUUCAAGAUUGCUAGCAAAACAAAUUCUCUGACAAUGUCAGAUAUUUGGCCGAAUAUGUAUUGAGAUAAAGUCGAUGCCAGAAGAAUACAACAGGACCAACUUAUGAAAUGAAUAAUGUAUACUUGCUAAUCACUGAAAACCCUGUUUAUACACUUUUAAUAAACCCCUUGGGGAAGAUACCCGUGGUUCUCUGUUCUAAACCCACAAAGAGGUAACAUGAACAGGUCAACUAAGACCUGGAGCUCUUGUUACAUUUCAGUCACUUGACCACUGAAAAUUGUCAGUACACUGCCAUGAUAAUCCAAUAUAUCUAUGAAGUUUCAAGAGACAAAUAAUUACCUUGUAGAUUUAGAAAUAUCAUUUGCUUAAUAAAUUUCACAGAAUUACAUUUUAUCUGCUAUAUUUCAAGAGAUGCCAUUUUCAUCUGUAAAAAAAAUCAGGAGAUAAAGUUUAAUCUGGCAAAUUCAAAACUAAAUACCUUAUCUGUUAAAUGUAUCAAGGUAUAAUAACAAAAAUAUAAAUUUAUUUGAUAAAAAAAUUAAACUUUAUCUGUUAAACUUCAAAGAUAUAUUUGAAUUUGUUGAAUACAAGUACUACUAAAAGGUAUAAAUAUUUUUUUUAAGAUUGGAGAUUAUAUAGUUUCCUGUCAAUUUAUCGGAUUUAGUUAUAUGUCUCUUUAAUUUUCCAGAAAUAACAUAUAAAAUGCAUAAAUCUGUCAAAUUCCAAAUAUCAUUUAACAAUCAAAAUAUCCAGAGAUAGUCAUUUGUCAAGGAUAAUAUUUCACCUAUCAAAGCAUGAGAGCUAUCAAGUGAUAAUGAUUUAGCUGUAAAUUUUCAAGGGUACUAAAUUCAUAGUGGGAAAAAAUGUAAUAUUGGUUUGAGGUGCAUAGGUAUAUAUCCUCAGAAUUAAUAAAUGGAAAGAAAAAAAUACAUAACAUACAGAGUAUAAUUUCAUUUUCAGAUAGAAAAAGAGUAAGUCCCUGAAUAAUGUUCAACUAAAGAGUUCAUUUGGCAACUAUUUGUUUUAUUUUAGACACAUUCCUUUCCGACCAUAGCACCAUGAAUAUAAAGGGAGUCUAAAUGACAUCACUGCAUUUACAUUAAUUUGUAGAAAUGGAUGACAAAACAUAGCAUAUUAUUAUACUUCCAUGAAUACACUGCAUGCACAAACAGGUAAGUGAGAAAGAGAAGAUGUGCUUUAAUGCUGAUAUUGAUUGACAACGGUAAACAAUGUGUUUCAAAAUUGAGAAGAGGUAUUGAUAUUUGGCCAGGAUUAUAGAGUAUUUGUGGUGGUGUUAAGUAGAGAAACUAACUUCAUAAUGUAUACGAGAUAAAUUGUUUAUAUAUAACCAAGAAAGAAUAAGACCUGUCCAGAUAUGUCAAUGUCUUGACACAAAAUUUUGAAUGAAUAUCCUCUAGAAAAAAAACAUUUUCAUGAAAACUCAGCAUGUGACAUUAAAAUAUGACAGAAGAAUUGUCUUCAUUUUCAAAGCUUAUCUGAGAUAUGUCCAUAUGAUAACAAGGAUAAUAAUAACUGGAUUCAUAAAACGCCAAUUCAAGGAUACAAUGGACAGCUGGAUCUGUAUCGUUGAGUCAGUAAAAUACCAGGAUUGGUACAACACGCUAGCUAUUAUUAUCGCAUACAUUCGUAAUUUCGAAGCUUCGUUAUUCCGAAGUGUAACCAUUAUUAUUAGUAUUAUUUUUACCCGGGCUUGAGCUUGAGCUGCUGCUUCCCAACUCAAUGCAUUGAUAAUAUCAAUCCUGUAAGGUACCCAUUCACCUCUCCUGGGUUGAGUGCAGCACAAUAUGGAUAAUUUUCCAUAUGGGAUAUACAACUUAGAAAAUGCCAAUUACAU